This is a long non-coding RNA of Helianthus annuus (common sunflower), 1440 nucleotides long. RefSeq lists it as uncharacterized. Lineage: Eukaryota; Viridiplantae; Streptophyta; Magnoliopsida; Asterales; Asteraceae. The transcript is spliced from 4 exons. The record is from RefSeq and is a predicted model, not a curated record.
UCCAUUUACAAUAGUUGCUUCAGAUUCCCUUCACUCUAAUCAAUUCAAGCCAUUGAAUGCCAUAAUUAACCAUCUUGAAUGCUAGAAUCAACAAUUGCUGCUUCAAUUUCUCUUCACUGGUAUCGAUUGUUAUCAUUUUGAUGGUAUAAAUCAGAGUGAGUUGUUAGAGCUUCAUCUUUACUUCUAUUUGUUUCAGAUCGUUUGCGUUCUUGGUCACUCACAAUUUCAGGUUAUUCGAUGACAAAGGAGAGACAAGUUGUGGUAGAUCAGGCAACAGCGGUGGAUCUGGACACCGACGGCGACGACGGAAUAGGUUUCCAGCAAGUAUUCCGGUGACUACAGUGAUUUGGAGAAGUGUUUAGGGAAUAGCAGCGGUUUCGGGAAGCUUUGGUGGAAUGGUGGUCGUGUGAGCAGGUGGAUAAUGGGAUUGCGUCGACUUCAGGAUACUAGGAUACUGAUGGUAAAUUGAUAAUUGAGAUUGUGGUAUGCAUUUUUGUUAGUUUUGUUGUUCACCUUGAAUCUAGAAAUAAGGUAGGGUUUACACAGGUAUUGAAAGUUACUGAACUUGACAGCUACCAGACGCUGGUUAGACCACUUGAUCUUUCUCUCUUUUCAGCCGCAUUGAUACGCUACAACGGUAUUACUGCUGGCGACGUUGUUUCCUGCCCAACAUUCUCUGAGAUUGUAGAUAAGGUUUACGACAUCUUGCAAGCAAGAGUGUGGGCGGGUCUCAAUAUAGUGGAGUUUGAUUGUGUGAGGUUAAAGGAGGCGUAUGCGCAGAUAAACCAAAAACUUCCUGUACCCAAGGGAACCAUGGAUACAUUGAAAUUGUUGACUGGGACGUUUGGGAGGAGAACCGAUAACAUGAAGGUAUAUUAUUGUUUGGGAGGAGAAAAACGAUAACAUUGAAUAUAUGACUCAUAACUCAUAAGAUAACCUUGUUCGUUGAUAAAUUUGAUUAAUAAGCAAAGUCGGCCGGUUGAGCUGACUAAAUCGAAGCCAGUCGGCCGGUUUGAAACUUUGAACCGGCUGUGUGAACUCGAAAAGGCCUCUUUAAUGUUUAUCAUUUAUCUUUUUUUUCACUUUUAAGUUUGUGGUUAUGUGUGUGUAUCUUAAUUAUUGAUCAUCUUUAUCAAUUUAACUUUUUAAUACAAACCAAGGAUAUUGAAAAGAAAACACUGAUCCAAAUUGUUGAAACUAGAUUGGUAAAACAGCCGGUCUAGCCAACCCCUUCAAUCCGGCCGGUUUGGCUUGUUGUUUACUUGUUUUUCGAAAUAAUAGUUAGUAGUCUGGCCUAGAGUUUUUUGUUAUAACCGGCUGAAGUGGACCAUGAGCAACCUUAGUAGUAUGACAAAGAUGCUUUUUUUGAAUCAAACAAUACCUAUAUUUUAAAAGGAGAUGUUCUUGAUUUAGUGUUCACAUUGGGGUAUUGUAUUAAUA